Long non-coding RNA from Gallus gallus (chicken), 577 nucleotides. NCBI's taxonomy places the organism in Eukaryota, Metazoa, Chordata, Aves, Galliformes, Phasianidae. The record is from Ensembl.
GAACACUGUGCAUCAUUCAGAGGUAAUCUACACAGUCUGAAAAAACCUUUGCAGCUCAUAUUGGAGUAAUAACCAUGAAAAAUGGGAUUUCCUGGGAAUUCAUUACCAGUUAGGAUCCCCUCAGUAAGACGCAAAGCUUCAUUUUGCUGUGACCAUCAGACCUGAGAAGCAGCUCGACAGAGAAACAAAAAAGUAAACACUUCAUGGAAAUCAUUGUUAGGUUGUGAAGUUUAAGUGAGAUGCCAGGUAUGAAUCUGUAGUUCAAAUCGAUGUCUUCCGUUGCAUGAGAAAGAAGGAACCGGAGGCAAUCCCUAAACAAAGGUCAAGUGCUUCUUCUUCCUACCACGUCUUUAAGCUUUUGAUUGGAAAGAAGCAUGCCUGCUUUCUUUUCACUAAAUCUGUGGAAAACCUAGCCACGUCUUUUCUUGAUAAUAUAGUUUGAAUUUGCUUUUCCUAGAAUAGAAAAUAGAUUGAAAGGGAUGAUGUAAUUUCUUUAUCAAAUUACUUUACGUCUUUAUUUUCUUUUUUGUCUAAAGUCUUCUGCCCUUUCCAAGCACGCUGUUAUGCAAGAUCUGCU